RNAcentral lists this ribosomal RNA (271 nucleotides) under uncultured bacterium. RNAcentral describes it as "partial 16S ribosomal RNA". It matches the Rfam family "Bacterial small subunit ribosomal RNA", at positions 82 to 354 of the family's 1533-position model. The record is from RNAcentral.
CUUCCGAUGGCGACCGGCGCACGGGUGAGUAACACGUAUCCAACCUGCCGAUAACUCGGGGAUAGCCUUUCGAAAGAAAGAUUAAUAUCCGAUAGGAUACCAAGGUCGCAUGAUCUUGAUAUUAAAGAAUUUCGGUUAUCGAUGGGGAUGCGUUCCAUUAGUUAGUUGGCGGGGUAACGGCCCACCAAGACGACGAUGGAUAGGGGUUCUGAGAGGAAGGUCCCCCACAUUGGAACUGAGACACGGUCCAAACUCCUACGGGAGGCAGCAG